UAAGGAAUAUUGGUCAAUGGACGAAAGUCUGAACCAGCCAUGCCGCGUGGAGGAUGAAGGUCCUCUGGAUUGUAAACUUCUUUUAUCUGGGACGAAAAAAGGUCUUUCUAGAUCGUCUGACGGUACCAGAUGAAUAAGCACCGGCUAACUCCGUGCCAGCAGCCGCGGUAAUACGGAGGGUGCAAGCGUUAUCCGGAUUCACUGGGUUUAAAGGGUGCGUAGGUGGGUUGGUAAGUCAGUGGUGAAAUCUUCGAGCUUAACUCGGAAACUGCCAUUGAUACUAUCAGUCUUGAAUAUUGUGGAGGUUAGCGGAAUAUGUCAUGUAGCGGUGAAAUGCUUAGAUAUGACAUAGAACACCAAUUGCGAAGGCAGCUGGCUACACAUAUAUUGACACUGAGGCACGAAAGCGUGGGGAUCAAAACAGGAUUAGAUACCCUGGUAGUCCACGCCCUAAACUAUGGAUACUCGACAUACGCGAUACACUGUGUGUGUCUGAGCGAAAGCAUUAAGUAUCCCCACCUGGGAAGUACGAUCGCAAGAUUGAAACUUAAAGGAA
RNAcentral lists this ribosomal RNA (556 nucleotides) under uncultured bacterium. RNAcentral describes it as "partial 16S ribosomal RNA". It matches the Rfam family "Bacterial small subunit ribosomal RNA", at positions 355 to 909 of the family's 1533-position model. The record is from RNAcentral.